RNAcentral lists this ribosomal RNA (621 nucleotides) under uncultured fungus. RNAcentral describes it as "eukaryotic LSU rRNA". It matches the Rfam family "Eukaryotic large subunit ribosomal RNA", at positions 24 to 664 of the family's 3401-position model. Lineage: Eukaryota; Fungi. The record is from RNAcentral.
CCCGCUGAACUUAAGCAUAUCAAUAAGCGGAGGAAAAGAAACCAACAGGGAUUACCCUAGUAACGGCGAGUGAAGCGGUAGCAGCUCAAAUUUGAAAUCUGGCUCUCGGGCCCGAGUUGUAAUUUGUAGAGGAUGCUUCGGGCAAGGCCUCGGUCUAAUUUCCUUGGAACAGGGAGUCAUAGAGGGUGAGAAUCCCGUCUGGGACCGCCGGCCGCGUCCAUGUGAAGCUCCUUCGACGAGUCGAGUUGUUUGGGAAUGCAGCUCAAAAUGGGUGGUAAAUUUCAUCUAAAGCUAAAUAUUGGCCAGAGACCGAUAGCGCACAAGUAGAGUGAUCGAAAGAUGAAAAGCACUUUGAAAAGAGAGUUAAACAGUAUGUGAAAUUGUUGAGAGGGAAGCGCUUGUGACCAGACUUGCGUGCGGUGGCUCAGCCGGUGUUCUCACCGGUGUACUCCUCCGUAUCCAGGCCAGCAUCGGUUCGGGCGGCCGGUCAAAGGCCCCGGGAAUGUACCACCCUCCGGGGUGACUUAUAGCCCGGGGUGCAAUGCGACCUGCCCGGACCGAGGGACGCGUUCUACUAGGAUGCUGGCGUAAUGGUUAUAAGCGACCCGUCUUGAAACACGG